This 497-nucleotide ribosomal RNA is filed under the name uncultured bacterium. RNAcentral's name for it is "partial 16S ribosomal RNA". It matches the Rfam family "Bacterial small subunit ribosomal RNA", at positions 28 to 507 of the family's 1533-position model. The record is from RNAcentral.
GAUGAACGCUGGCGGCGUGCCUAAUACAUGCAAGUCGAGCGAAUGGACGAGAAGCUUGCUUCUCUGAUGUUAGCGGCGGACGGGUGAGUAACACGUGGAUAACCUACCUAUAAGACUGGGAUAACUUCGGGAAACCGUAGCUAAUACCGGAUAAUAUUUUGAACCGCAUGGUUCAAAAGUGAAAGACGGUCUUGCUGUCACUUAUAGAUGGAUCCGCGCUGCAUUAGCUAGUUGGUAAGGUAACGGCUUACCAAGGCAACGAUGCAUAGCCGACCUGAGAGGGUGAUCGGCCACACUGGAACCGAGACACGGUCCAGACUCCUACGGGAGGCAGCAGUAGGGAAUCUUCCGCAAAGGGCGAAAGCCUGACGGAGCAACGCCGCGUGAGUGAUGAAGGUCUUCGGAUCGUAAAACUCUGUUAUUAGGGAAGAACAUAUGUGUAAGUAACUGUGCACAUCUUGACGGUACCUAAUCAGAAAGCCACGGCUAACUACGUG